AAAACAAAACUGCAAGGAAUAUGUGGAACCUAACAGCAACCGCAGUCUGCCUUCUGCAGAAAACCCUUACACUGCCCAAGCAUCCCCACUCUGCUCCUCACUGCUCCUCGUGCCCCUCAGGGAAUGUGACAUAGACCCUGUUUUGGACUGGAAGACAUCUGUCCAAGGAAAAUAAACAUAAGCUCUCAGUUUGGUCACCUUCCACAUACCAGAGCAACAGAGCUAAGUUGCGGUUUGACUUUCACCUGCGUCAGUUCCCUGAACCUAAUUGGAUCCGGAGUCACCUGGAACUGCCUGCCUGCCUGGACUGAGAGAAGCCGCGGAGAAAACCCGGAUCUCCCUGAGGCCGUGCCAGAUGCUUUUGCGGUGUCCUGCGGCUGCUGCCUGGACCUCUGGCAGACAGCAGAGCGAGCACUGGCAGUGAGGCCUUCCUGCAAAYGCAGCUUGAGAACCACUUUGACUGCUGACAGACAAAGAGCUACCGUGCAGGGCAACCGCAGCAAGUGCGAGUCCCUUCUCACAAGCAGAAUCGCAGUGCGUCCCUCUGAGGGAUGGUGMCAGCAUCGCAUCCCUUCAUCUCUAUUGCCUUUCGUACUGUAACCUAAUUUUUCUUUUCCACAACUGUUCAAGCAAAGAUUGUCCAUGUAGAAUAAAGCAGGCCUAGGAAGUAAGGAAUGGUUGGUAUGAGAUCUUCCAGCAAUUUUGCUCUUGUAGUCAGUCAAGGCAGUCCUGAUAUCCUUUCAGGGUACACUUUCAGUGAGGCUCAUGAGUAUUUUCCCAUUGUAAAGGCUGAUGAAUUUAGCCCUAGGAAAUAACAACAUUCUAACAGUGGUAGUCAUUGGGCAAURGGUGGGUUUUCUUUGGAGAAGAAAAAAAAAUAUAAAGGAAGAAAACUUGGUUGAAGUUUGAUGCCAUCCUUCAGUACUGAGUGGCAGACAGAUGGGAGGAGRGAAAAAGAAAAAUGAACUGUGUCACCACAUGGACAGGUACCUACUUCCUGUUAUGGRGUAAACAAAAUUCAGCAAGGUGUUAUUCUCUGUAAGCUCUGAUGUAGCCGGUCUCUGAUAAAGAUUAAUUUCUAAAAAUCAACCUUAAGCUGAUGGAUCAACCAAUAAGACAAUGACUUGACAAAUUAUUCACUGCCAAGUGUAAGGUACUUCCAUGCCUUUAGUCUGCAUCACUGCAGACAGUGUGUUUAUUGUUGAAUUCAAUGAAAUUUAAAUCCCAUUACGGAUGUAAUUGUUCUCCCCAAGAAGAUUACAAACCGAGACCUUUCAUUCUUAUUUUAUUU
Molecule: long non-coding RNA, 1291 nt
Organism: Nothoprocta perdicaria
Lineage: Eukaryota; Metazoa; Chordata; Aves; Tinamiformes; Tinamidae
Exons: 4
Source: RefSeq, a predicted model, not a curated record